Molecule: transfer RNA, 74 nt
Organism: Blastococcus saxobsidens DD2
Lineage: Bacteria; Bacillati; Actinomycetota; Actinomycetes; Geodermatophilales; Geodermatophilaceae
Rfam family: tRNA
About the family: Transfer RNA (tRNA) molecules are approximately 80 nucleotides in length. Their secondary structure includes four short double-helical elements and three loops (D, anti-codon, and T loops).
Source: Rfam
CGGGGUGUGGCGCAGCUUGGUAGCGCACCUGCUUUGGGAGCAGGGGGCCGCAGGUUCAAAUCCUGUCACCCCGA